Molecule: non-coding RNA, 276 nt
Organism: Prunus avium (sweet cherry)
Lineage: Eukaryota; Viridiplantae; Streptophyta; Magnoliopsida; Rosales; Rosaceae
Source: RefSeq, a predicted model, not a curated record
AUUCAAACUUAUUUUUGUAAGUGGCCACGCCCAGCACUGCAAGCUUCGACAAGCCCAAAUCGCCGGCCGAUUAGUGUCUCGCUUUCUCAACCCUCUCUCUCUCAACUCUCGAUCUGCCUCUUCUCUCUUCCUCUGGACUUUCAUCAAAGAAUUUACCAGUUCAAAUGGCAAGAAAAAGAGCUAAGAAAACUGUAAAACAAGUUGCCUUGUCACCAGGGACCGAUUUCAAUGUUGCAGAGGCAAAGGAGCCCCAGAAUGUGAAACAAGAAGCUCAAU